This 497-nucleotide ribosomal RNA is filed under the name uncultured bacterium. RNAcentral describes it as "partial 16S ribosomal RNA". It matches the Rfam family "Bacterial small subunit ribosomal RNA", at positions 28 to 507 of the family's 1533-position model. The record is from RNAcentral.
GACGAACGCUGGCGGCGUGCCUAAUACAUGCCAGUUGAGCGCUGAAGGUUGGUACUUGUACCAACUGGAUGAGCAGCGAACGGGUGAGUAACGCGUGGGGAAUCUGCCUUUGAGCGGGGGACAACAUUUGGAAACGAAUGCUAAUACCGCAUAAAAACUUUAAACACAAGUUUUAAGUUUGAAAGAUGCAAUUGCAUCACUCAAAGAUGAUCCCGCGUUGUAUUAGCUAGUUGGUGAGGUAAAGGCUCACCAAGGCGAUGAUACAUAGCCGACCUGAGAGGGUGAUCGGCCACAUUGGGACUGAGACACGGCCCAAACUCCUACGGGAGGCAGCAGUAGGGAAUCUUCGGCAAUGGACGAAAGUCUGACCGAGCAACGCCGCGUGAGUGAAGAAGGGUUUCGGAUCGUAAAACUCUGUUGGUAGAGAAGAACGUUGGUGAGAGUGGAAAGCUCAUCAAGUGACGGUAACUACACAGAAAGGGACGGCUAACUACGUG